CUCGGGUCCUGGCCGGUAAUAAACUCCUGUGUGGAUUUAAUAUUGGUCUCUGGUUGGUUCUCUCUCACUGGGUACAACAGUUUCCAUCAGGGGAGCUCUAAUCUUCACUGUGAGCGACACUUCCUGGCUCCAAUGUGGAUCCUUCAGCUUGGCGGCAGAAAUCCUUCAUCUCACCAGCGUAGAUUUUCUGGCUUCCACCACUGGCCUUUGGACCUUCCAGGCAGAAUUUACAGAUGGUUCCUGAAGAUUUCCUUCCCUAAUCCUAGAAAGUAUGAACAUAAUGAGAUAUUCCUCCCAUGCUUGGCAGACGAGGAAAUCAGAAUUCAGAGCAUGAGGAGAUUCCACACACUUGUUUCCUUGGGGAUGUCAAAGAAUGGGGGCUUCUGGGAGCCAAGAGUGAGUGCUGGGCAAUAACCAUCAAUAAAGCUGUGACCUCCGUCCUACAACCACACACAGCUGGAUUCAGUCAACAACCUGGACCAGUUUGGCUGCAAAACGUUCAGAUAAGUGCUCAGCCUGGCUCAUAUGGUG
Molecule: long non-coding RNA, 531 nt
Organism: Heterocephalus glaber (naked mole-rat)
Lineage: Eukaryota; Metazoa; Chordata; Mammalia; Rodentia; Bathyergidae
Source: Ensembl